CCCAACGUGACGUCACCCGGAAGUUAUUCCUUAGCUGGCGUCAAAUAGUUUUCCACCGAUAUUCUCAUCCCAACAAACAAAUUAUUUCAGGUAGCUAGGAAAUUCGUUUAAAUGUGUUUUACAUUUUCAUUUGGUACUUUAAUGAGUUAUUUAAAUAACGCAUGGCUCAGACAAACUCUAGAGUCUUUUAAGAGUGUUUGUUAUCCUAGCUUGUAAGCUAGCUAACGUUACACUUACCAUUGUCUUGGGUUGGAAAGUGACGGCAGCUCAAUAGCCCACCAUGUCUGAACCGGGUUCUGGGUGAGGCGUUCCAGUCCAGAGAAGCUCACAACAGGGUCCAGAGGUGGUGUCAGUGAAGCUGGAGGACUGCGGUCAAACACUGGAACUCAAUGUGAUUGUGAAAGAGGAGGAGAAUGGAGAGGUUAAAGAAGAAAAGCGCGGAAAUCAAAGAAGAUAAGGAAGAGGGGAGAGAGAGAGGUCCAAAACGAAGAGGAGAGAAAUGCUGAUAUGGCUCCUCCAGGAGAGAGCUCCAACUCAGGCUCACUCAGCGAGCCCAGUACCACAGUAUCAGGAAACCACCAACAACACCGAGGGAGGAACUCAAGGCAGAAACAUCACCACUGCUUGGACUGCUUCACUCGUUUCUGUGAGCCAGAGGAGUUGAGAAGACACACUUGUAAAAACCGCAGCCACGGUGUAACAUGUCCUCCCAAACGGAAAAAGACCUCCAGCUCCUUCUCACCAAUCCUCCCACCAAUCCUCCCACAUCAUCGUGUCAGCUAUUGGGGAUCCUAGUAAACAUAAAUGUUGCAGGAGGAGAAACUCCAGAUAAAGUCUUGGUCCCCCACCAGCCACCUGAUGUAGAAAUAUCACUUCCUCAACACAGAACAAAAGGAAAGGACCCGUUCAUUCAACCCCUCGUGGUUCCAUAAGAAAUCGUGGCUGACGGCGUCUCCAAAAAAAACCUUUGCUGCUUCCCGUGCCUUUUAUUCGGCAAAGACUUGGUCAACGGUGGGUUUCAAGGACCUGAAGCACCUCUCCGAAAGGCUUUCGAAACAUGAGAGUUGUUGUACUCAUCUGGAAAACGGCAUGAAACUGGGAUUUCUAGGGAAGACUAACGCUGCUGGUCAGCUGGUCGGCGUAAACCCAAGCUCCCAUUGAGAUACACAACAGACAAACGGAGGAGAGUAGGUACGUUUCUGGGUAGAAUGGUCAAAAGCUACGUUCUGUGCAGGAGACACAUGGCUGCGACGUGGCCGAGCGGCCUGGUCGAGUCGGAUUCCCUAAACGCAUCCAUGUUUAAGUGCGUCUUUGAGACGAGGGAGAGGGAGACUCCAGACUCCAGAGGCAUUACGACGCUCACGGCUUCUUUAAGCACCCAAAUGGCUAUGUACAAAACAAACUGUUUGACUGUAUGCACGAGGUGUACAAAGAGGCGAUUACCAAGGAGGUGUGGGCGGCUAGCUUCGUAGCGGUGCAGGUGGACGGCAUGCCGUGGACAGGGGAGGUCUCCUCCAGGGUAUUAUUGCCCCUAGCUACAGAUCUAGGAUCAGCUUCCCCAAUCCCAACUGUGACCAUUAGCUUCUUGGGCUAACAAUCUACUCCAGUACGCCACAGCAGGUCUCUGUCGUGCUACGGUACACGCUUCCAGACAAUACUGUCACGGAGAGGUUUUGGGAGUUUGUGGACCUAAAGGAUAAAACGGACGCCGGUCUCACCAAGGCAGUCAAGGACUCGCUGGAGCCACUGAUAUGGUGGUUAACACUGGGAAGCUGAAAGAUGAAUUGACCUCUCUGUACCAACACACGGAGCUCCACAGGGGUACAACAGCUCCGUCAUUACUGAAAACAAUCAGCGAGCUCAACCUCCAGGAUGUUUUGUCAGAGACGGUCUCUCUUCUCAAAAUCAUCAUCACCACUCCCAUGCAGACCGCCGAGUCUGACAGAAGGUUCCCCACUCUGAAAAGAGUCCAGGCGUUGCCGUGUUCUCGGAACACCUCGGGUUCCGCGGUCGCUUGGCAACAGAACAACGGCAGGCUAAAUGCACUGUCCAUGCUCUCUGUCGAGAAGGACUUCAUUCAAGCACUCAGGUCAGAUUUUCACGACAAGGUCGUUGAUAAGUUUGUCCAAAAUAAAACCUGCCCUGGAGCCUUCCUGUUUAAAUGAGCAGUACAGCAUCUGAGAAGGCUUGGGCUGUGUCUUUAUAUAGUAUAUACUGGGGCUGUGUCUUUAUAUAGUAUAUACUGGGGCUGAGUCUAUAUAUAGUAUAUACGGGGGUCUGAGUCUGUAUAGAGUAUAUACUGGGGGCUUAGUCUAUAUAUAGUAUAUACUGGGGGCUUAGUCUAUAUAUAGUAUAUACUGGGGCUGUGUCUUUAUAUUGUAUAUACUGGGGCUGAGUCUAUAUAUAGUAUA
Molecule: long non-coding RNA, 2411 nt
Organism: Oncorhynchus tshawytscha (Chinook salmon)
Lineage: Eukaryota; Metazoa; Chordata; Actinopteri; Salmoniformes; Salmonidae
Exons: 3
Source: RefSeq, a predicted model, not a curated record